GAUGAACGCUAGCGAUAGGCUUAACACAUGCAAGUCGAGGGGCAGCAUGGUCUUAGCUUGCUAAGGCUGAUGGCGACCGGCGCACGGGUGCGUAACGCGUAUGCAACUUGCCUCACAGAGGGGGUAACCCGUCGAAAGACGGACUAAUACCGCGUACACUCUAUGUUGGGCAUCCAAUGUAGAGGAAAUGAAAUUCGCUGUGAGAUAGGCAUGCGUCCCAUUAGCUAGUUGGUGAGGUAACGGCUCACCAAGGCGACGAUGGGUAGGGGAACUGAGAGGUUGAACCCCCACACUGGUACCGAGACACGGACCAGACUCCUACGGGAGGCAGCAGUGAGGAAUAUUGGUCAAGGGGCGAGAGCCUGAACCAGCCAAGUCGCGUGAAGGAUGACUGUCUUAUGGAUUGUAAACUUCUUUUAUACGGGAAUAACAAGAGUCACGUGUGGCUCCCUGCAUGUACCGUAUGAAUAAGCAUCGGCUAACUCCGUG
This 489-nucleotide ribosomal RNA is filed under the name uncultured bacterium. RNAcentral's name for it is "partial 16S ribosomal RNA". It matches the Rfam family "Bacterial small subunit ribosomal RNA", at positions 28 to 507 of the family's 1533-position model. The record is from RNAcentral.